CCUACGGGAGGCUGCAGUGGGGAAUAUUGGGCAAUGGAGGCAACUCUGAACCAGCAAAGCCGCGUGAAUGAUGAAGGUCUUCGGAUUGUUAAGUUUUGUGAUGGGGGAUGAAAACAAUGACGGUACCCCAAUAGCAAGCUACGGCUAACUACGUGCCAGCAGCCGCGGGAAUAAGUAGGUGGCAAGCGUUAUACGGAGUGAGUGGGCGUAAAGGGUGCGUAGGUGGGUUAGUAAGUUGGCGGUGUAAUUCCGGGGCGCAACAUCGGCGCUACCGCUAGAACUAUUAGACUAGAGGGCAGGGGGAGUAAUGGGAAUUCCGAGGGGAGCGGGGGAAUGCGUAGAUAUUAGG
Molecule: ribosomal RNA, 349 nt
Filed under: uncultured bacterium
Lineage: Bacteria
Description: partial 16S ribosomal RNA
Rfam family: Bacterial small subunit ribosomal RNA
Source: RNAcentral